RNAcentral lists this long non-coding RNA (201 nucleotides) under Capsicum annuum. Its description in RNAcentral is "long non-coding RNA (CANN_LNC003751)". Lineage: Eukaryota; Viridiplantae; Streptophyta; Magnoliopsida; Solanales; Solanaceae. The record is from RNAcentral.
UGAAAUUCCUGAAAGACAAAGUUUUAGUACUGAUGACACUUCAAAAGCACCAAGUGGAAAAGUAAAGUACGCACCAACUUCAACAGGAAAUAGCCCAGGUAUUGGACAUUCAUCUUCAGUGCCAAAAGCAAAUGAUCAACCAAAGCACACUAGUACUGGUGAAGUAAGCAUAGACGAUGUCAAAGCAGGACACAGCCCGGG